GGGCGCCAAGGAGCACCUUGGCCGUCUGGGGUCUGGCGGGUAGAAAGCCAGCCCGGGUCGGGGUGGCCGAAGAGGACAGUGAUGGGCCCGGGCGCGGCAAGAAGGGGGGGUGCCAGACAUUCAUCCCGGUCACUUUUGGUUACAGGACGUGGCAGCUGGUCGGACGAGGGGGAGCUGUUCGGAGGGGUCUGAGCCGGAGACCUGGGCAACCAAGGGGUAGCUGGCAGCCCGUGCAGGUGUGGACGGCGCUCUGCCAGCCAGGUGAGUCCCUUCCCUCCUCGGGCCUCGUCUCCCCAGGCCACCGGAAGGCAGCCUGGGGUGCCGAGGGCCGGCGAGGAGAAGUGGCAGCCUUCUGGCAGAGCAGAAUGAAGGCAAGGCAGGGAGCAAAGGUGACAUCUCUCGGGGGGAGCCGAGACGGAGCAAGGCUGGGUCCAUCCCAGGGGAAAGAGACACUGAGAAAGGUUAGGGCGGAGCAGGUGGAGGGCUGCCAGCAAGGACAGAGAGGACACUGGGCUCCAGCAGGUGUGGGGACAGCGCAGGGCCGGCUCAGACAGGGCACAGACAGAAGGGUUCCCAGUUGCCACCACAUCCCACCCACCGUAAUUCACUUAGAAGCAGGCACAGGAGUGGCUCCGGUCAAGGGCUGACCAUGCCCUUGGCCGGAGCAUUGAAAGCCGGAGAGCGGGAAAAGAAAGGCAGUGUCCAGUAUUUAGCGGGGCGUCUUCAGGGGCGGCAGCGGCCAGGGACUCCCCAGAGAUAGCGCAGCAAGGAGGCUGCAACGGGAGCCCUUGGGCACUCUGCUGCCACGUGGCACUGCACCCCAGGGGCUGGCCCUCAGCCCCCGGGAUUGGCAUGGCAGACAGCAAGCACCCAGGGGAGUCAAGGACACGGGCGAGAACAGACAGGGCGAGGCGGGUGAGGUGGUGUGAGUGAGCUUUUCAGGAGGGAGGUGGGCACAGGCCGGGGCAAGAGCAAGCCUACUGGGGCGCUGGCUUCCUGAGCCCGUGGCCAAGGUGGGCCUGACGGGCUGCGACGGAGCGAGAUCGGCGCCCUCCCGCGCUUGCAGUGGGGACCAGGCCGGGUCUCCAGCGGGGCAGACGUGCCAGCAGUCACCAUCGAAGGUCUGGACGCCAGCAUGAACGAGCUGAGGGACAUGAUAUGGUCCGGUGUGACGGUGAGGACAAGAAAGGCUGGCCGUCCAGACUUGCAGAACAUCCUUGUAGGCACCGGGGCGGCUGUCCCCAGACGUGGAUCUCUGUCCCUUCGCGGCUGCCAAGGAGCUGACAUGCAUGUAACCACACUCAUCACUACUAUUACUGCUCUCUGGACCCUUGGAAUUCCCAGAAGUAAAGACGUCGCUGCCCAGCUCACGUCUGGGCCCUUGAACCCGGGGACUUGUUCAAGUCCGUCUUGUUGUGACUCAAGAAUUCUUAGCCUCUGGAACUCUGACACUGCCUAACUCAAAGUCAGCUCCCAAGGUGACGCUGAAGGAAGGAGACCACACCCACAGCAGCCGUCCAGUCACACCCCCGCCCCUGGCGACUCCAUCUUCACGGCCAUUCCCACGCUCCCCCCGCGGCAGCCGGGAGACCCCCGGAGCUGGGCCCGCGGGGGGGGCACCCCACCACCUCCCCUUUUCCGUCUUCAAUUUCUUCCUUUCUCUGAGUGACUGCUCUUCCAUAGCCUGAGAGACGCCAGGCGGCCCGACUCCACCCCCAUUCCCCCACAUUUUGCACUAAGUCGUAGGCACUGGUUUGGAGCGGCUGCAGCCCUGGGUCCCUCAGGCACGUGUGCAAGCCCCUUGGCCAGCUCCACACAGCCCUGGCGCCUGCCUAUCCGCCCAACUCUGCCAGGGUCCCAGGAGCUGGCUGUCGUAUGCUUGAGGCCUCAUCUCCACCCUCACCUUGUCUGUAAACUCCCGCCCAGCAGAGUGGCCUUGCAAACAUCACCAGGCCCAUCUCGCCCUGUGCCCCUCCCCACCGGGGCCCCACCAGGAGCCCUGGACUCAUCAAUAAACAUGGUUUCAGUAUUUGG
Molecule: long non-coding RNA, 2034 nt
Organism: Ochotona curzoniae (black-lipped pika)
Lineage: Eukaryota; Metazoa; Chordata; Mammalia; Lagomorpha; Ochotonidae
Exons: 5
Source: RefSeq, a predicted model, not a curated record